CAGUCGCCACGGGAAUACGAAGGGGGCUAGCGUUGCUCGGAAUCACUGGGCGUAAAGGGUGCGUAGGCGGGUCUUUAAGUCAGGGGUGAAAUCCUGGAGCUCAACUCCAGAACUGCCUUUGAUACUGAAGAUCUUGAGUUCGGGAGAGGUGAGUGGAACUGCGAGUGUAGAGGUGAAAUUCGUAGAUAUUCGCAAGAACACCAGUGGCGAAGGCGGCUCACUGGCCCGAUACCGACGCUGAGGCACGAAAGCGUGGGGAGCAAACAGGAUUAGAUACCCGCGUAGUCCCUGUCUCUUAUAC
This 301-nucleotide ribosomal RNA is filed under the name uncultured bacterium. Its description in RNAcentral is "partial 16S ribosomal RNA". It matches the Rfam family "Bacterial small subunit ribosomal RNA", at positions 509 to 807 of the family's 1533-position model. The record is from RNAcentral.